CCUGAGAACCCCCUGUAACAUUUCGUGAACCCCCAGUUUGGGAACCACUGACCUAGCAUGAUGAGGCCUUGAUCUCAUAUGAGGCCUCUAGGAGCCACUGCCGUACAAAUAAAACUCUGUAUGCUUUGUGUGUGUCAUGUAGGUGUGCACAUUGUGUAUCCAGACAUACUACACACAGCGAUAUCUGGGCUGUGUGUGUUUAGUCCCUGUGUCUAGGAUUUGUGUAUAUAUGCUAGACUUGCUUAUGUCUGUGACCACCGAUGUGUUUGUGUAGGUUUGAACAGUUGUGCAUAUUGUAGAGCAUAUGGCUGUGUGGUUAUUUUCUAGUUGUGAUUUGUACACCUCAGUAUGUGGUUUUGGUUUCGUGUCCUCUGAGCGAGUGAGGCAGGAGGGAACUGAUAGUCUCACUCCUCUGCAGUGGUACCAGCAAGAGCAGCAGGAACUGAAGCACAAUCUCCUCCCCCAUCCUCCUCCAGACUCUCUCACUCACUGCCUUGCUCGGAGUGGGGCGGAGGUCAGCUAAGCCAGCCAGCCGGAGUCAGGAGCUGGGAAGACAGAAGAUCUGUGCUGCCACACCUCAGUGAAUUUCCUUAUAUCCCAGCGCUUCCCAGGGAUCCCCUGCUCUCAAAAACAUUUUACCAGGAAACAUCUCAUGGGGAAUUCUACAGCAUCAACAAUUUUCCUGCAAGCUAUUAUUAGAUUACCUAUGUUAUAUUAGAUGCAUCAUAUAGCUUAUUGACAUGCCUCUGAAAUCAGUCCUUCAAAGUACAUAUUCAUAUUUGGGGUGAUACUAAUUAUCUAACAAUAAAUGAGAGAGCCAGGAAUAGAAUUGAAGAGUCUUGACUCCCAGGCCUGUGCUUUGACUCCUAAAUCAUGUUUCAUCUCACUUGGUGGAUACAAAUCUUGUCAUUCAGGUUCACAUUUGGGUAUCUUCUGUAAUAUAAAAGUUCCUAACUUUGCUAUAUGCUGUAUUUGUCUGUCUAAUUUAGAGUUGAGCAACGUUUUUUAGCUGUUUGUGUGAACUUUUUUUUCAGAUCCAAUAAGCGCAGGUUUGCAGCUACUAGUUUAGUUUGGGGGUUUGUGGUUCAAACAAGUGCAAAAACUCAAAGGGAAAUGGUCAAAAACAGAAUUUCACUUGGCUUUGCCAAAGCCAUGGAUUCUGUGUGGCUUUGACUAAACCAAGUCUUGCCAACUUUUGCAAACUUAAGAUGAGCUGAGUUACCAGCUUUUCCAAAACCAGGUGAGAUUUGCAUGGUGUCAGAUUUUAUAAUGAAAGUUUUAUAAAGUUCAUAGCUUAUUCCUUUUGUUCACAAAGAGCAUAGGCCACGUAAAGAGUUCAGCCAUUUUAUGGGAAGAACAGCUGUGAUGAAAACAGCAAAUGACUGUCUGUGGACUGCUGAUGAAGUCUAUAAUUCUUCCCCCCAACUACUUCCCAUUCCUGUACCAUUGGUGUUGGAAAUCUAGUCUCCCAACUCCCUUCUAUUAAACUGACCUUCCAUUAUUAUACAUACAUGGGCACCCAUUGCACUGAGCUAUAGCACAAUAUAGACCACACAAUUUGUAAAUCUGUCAUUGCUGAAUCUGUCUCCUUCACUAUUAACUUCUCUAAAGUCUGCUUUGUGCUGGCCAAGACAAUAGGGUAGGAAAAGGUUCUAAACAUGAAGUUGUAUUUAUGUUUUGUUACAUGCAACAUUUAGAAUGCAUAGAAGCCCUGUAGACGUUAUUUGAUAGAGUUCGCAUCACCCCAUAUGGAGUAUAUUGCAAUUGAUUUUAUCCUGGUAUGGUACACCCCCAGGGCACUAACAAAUACAUGAAAACUUAUAUUAAUACAAAGUUUAAUUCCUGCAUAGAAGAUGGCUGUACAGUUCUCCUUGAGAGUCAAAUGAUUUUAAUAGUUAUUUAGGGUGGGAAUUUUCGUAAGUACUCAGUGUUGGUCUAGUUCUGCUCCCAUUGAAGUAAUGCUGACUUUAAUGAGAGCAGAGCUAUGCCAAUACCGAGCACUGACUUCAAUGGGAGCAGAGAUAGGCUGAAUGCUUUUGAACACAACACCUUUAAUUGCUUAGUACAGUUUCUACAUUAAAUUAACAGCAGUCUAAAAGUUAAAAAGGCUUCAAAGUAACUCACAAACAGGAUUCUAGAAUCAAGUGAUGAUCUUUGAUCUUUUAUUUUGCAGGAACUCAUUAUGAAAAGUUCAAUCCUGUGGCAUGCUGAGCAUUCUCCAUUUUCAGUUAUACCAGGGGAAGAUGUGGCUGCUCAACACCUCACAGGACUGGGCACAAAACAGAGAAAGCUCACCGUACCUGAAUGCUCAGUAGGUCAUUUAGAGAAAGUGACAAACCAAAAUUAAUCUGCAACACAUGUGCUUUGUUCUCAAUAUUUUAAAACUUACCGGCUACAAUAGCGAAAUCAGCUUCAACGUCACAAGCUAUAACAUCUCCAUUUUUUAUGUGCUUCCUUACAGCUUCUUUUACUUUUCCCAUUCCAAGUUCAUUUCCUCCAUCCCCAAUGCCUUCAUUAAAAAAUAAAAAAGAUCCCAUGAGUAUCCAAACCACCUUACAAAUACAAACCCAUUUAUAAGCUAUCCAGUGCCUCUCACAAGGGUCUGUGUAUAACAGGUUAGCCCUCUUGAACUGUUUCAAAAGUGUCACAAAACAGGAGAUCACAAAAACAAUAGGUGAAAACAUUGUAGAGAGGGGGUGUGGUCUCCCUCCCUGACGGAUGGGGAGAGAGUUGCGACUGCCCCCUGGUUCCAUGAUUGCAUCAUUCAUGGGUAAAGCGAUUUUAGAUUAUGCUGAUGUUUGCAGGAUUGGGGGAGGACAGCAUAUGCUUCUUAGCCACCAUUUUAGCUUGGUGGUCUGUCAUAUGAGUCACAGACAAAGAAGAGCCCCUGUGAGAGGCUGUAGUUGGUGAACUGUGUUCUGGGGGGUCCAUGCUUCUGGUUCAGAUGUUAGCUGGAGAGACUUCUCCAUGAGCAGCAGUUUAAGCUGCAAGUCUCUGGCUUUCCUGGUCCGGGCUGUCAAUUUGUGACAAUGAGGGUACUUUUGAGGCAUGUGUGCUUUGCCUAAGCAGCGAACACACUGAGCAUGCCCGUCCGACACUGGGCUUGAUAGCCUACAGGUGAGGCACUGUUUAAAGCCCAGAGAACCAGGCAUGUCCCUGAGGAGAAAGUUUCAUCCUCCUCCAAGGGGGGAGGUGUGAGUAACGGUUCAACAAAAACCUAUUUCUAGUUGGGAUACAAAUAAGGUGGUGUUUUUUUUAAAUAAACAGGGACUAGAAAAUGAAAGGAGUUAACUAUCUCUAACAAAACUAGAACUAACUAAGGUAUACUACACUAACUAAGCUCUUUGAGGCACUGCUGAAUGCUCCAAUUUGUAGCCACGGACAGUAGAGAAGGAACUGAGGGGGGGUUGGUCGCACAGUGGCAGUUAACCGCCUGAGGCGGCACGAGAUGGGGACUGCGCAUGUGCAAUCUAACCAGGCACUACUACCACAAAUCUCCGAUUACAAGCACAGGAGCGCUCAACACCUUAAGUGGAGCACCCAUAGGGACAUCACUUGAAGAAGAAAUAUAAUUAAGAUAUAUUUUGUACAAAGUAUGCUUUGUGAGGUAUCAUUCUAAAAGUAUUAAUAUGUUAAACAUUAAUACUCUGUUGGAUUGUAUUUGUUGUUAUUGUAUGUGAAGUUAUGAAGUUUUGCUAAGUAUGUGUUACUUGAAAGAUGUGAAGUUGGAAACACCCACAACUAGCCUUUCACGUACAACAAUGAAGAAGCUGAACAGUGCUAAUGACCCAUCAACAAAGACAAUGGACCAUGGAAAAGGCUUGUCCUCACCUGGGAACCCUUCAGACAGCCUGUGGAUAGCUGCUAUGACUCAGUGAGGCAUGCAAGGGCACGUGACCAGACCACAUGAUAUUGAACUCCAUUUUAGUACCUGUAUUUUUCCACAAAGGGGGCUGGGAACUUGGCUUAGAACAAAGGGGUUCCCACCCUAUGAAGAAACUAUAAAAGAUGGGGAGUGACAUCAUUUCAGGGCCUCACUCCCCACACAAGAGAACACCUGAGGAACAAAGACUGAACCGGGGGAAGUGCUGGUUCCAGGCUAAAAUGAUUUCUAGCCUGUGUAUGGAAGCUUGAUGGACUGUUUGUACUAUCUAACAGGGUGAGACACUGUUUGAUUAAAAUCCUGUGUAGUAUGUUAGGCUUAGAUUGCAUUCUUGU
This is an RNA transcript of Mauremys reevesii (Reeves's turtle), 4218 nucleotides long. It is a transcript of the gene named G protein-coupled receptor 68, with no coding region annotated. The record is from RefSeq and is a predicted model, not a curated record. Lineage: Eukaryota; Metazoa; Chordata; Testudines; Geoemydidae. The transcript has 2 exons.